Schistosoma rodhaini is the source of this 48-nucleotide non-coding RNA. NCBI's taxonomy places the organism in Eukaryota, Metazoa, Platyhelminthes, Trematoda, Strigeidida, Schistosomatidae. The record is from Rfam.
AUCCAUCUGACGAUUUCCAAAUAGGACAAAACGCGCGUCAAACUGGAU